AUUGAACGCUGGCGGCAUGCUUUACACAUGCAAGUCGAACGGCAGCGCGGGCUUCGGCCUGGCGGCGAGUGGCGAACGGGUGAGUAAUACAUCGGAACGUGCCCAGUAAUGGGGGAUAGCUCGGCGAAAGCCGGAUUAAUACCGCAUACGACCUGAGGGUGAAAGCGGGGGAUCUUCGGACCUCGCGCUAUUGGAGCGGCCGAUGGCAGAUUAGCUAGUUGGUGGGGUAAAGGCCUACCAAGGCGACGAUCUGUAGCUGGUCUGAGAGGACGACCAGCCACACUGGGACUGAGACACGGCCCAGACUCCUACGGGAGGCAGCAGUGGGGAAUUUUGGACAAUGGGCGAAAGCCUGAUCCAGCAAUGCCGCGUGUGUGAUGAAGGCCUUCGGGUUGUAAAGCACUUUUGGCGGGAACGAAAAGGACUGUGCCAAUACCACGGUUCGAUGACGGUACCCGCAGAAUAAGCACCGGCUAACUACGUG
Molecule: ribosomal RNA, 484 nt
Filed under: uncultured bacterium
Lineage: Bacteria
Description: partial 16S ribosomal RNA
Rfam family: Bacterial small subunit ribosomal RNA
Source: RNAcentral